CCUACGGGCGGCAGCAGUGAGGAAUAUUGGUCAAUGGGCGGAAGCCUGAACCAGCCAAGUCGCGUGAGGGAAUAAGGCCCUACGGGUUGUAAACCUCUUUUGCCGGGGAGCAAGGGCGGGGACGUGUCCCGGCCCGGAGAGUACCCGGAGAAAAAGCUUCGGCUAACUCCGUGCCAGCACCCGCGGUAAUACGGAGGUUGCGAGCGUUAUCCGGAUUUAUUGGGUUAAAGGGGUGCGUAGGCGGGCUUUAAAGUCAGCGGUAAAAAUUCGGGGCUCAACCCCGUCCGGCCGUUGAAACUGGGGGCCGUGAGUGGGCGAGAAGAAGGCGGAAUGCGUGGUGUAGCGGUGAAAUGCAUAGAUAUCACGCAGAACCCCGAUUGCGAAGGCAGCCUUCCGGCGCCCUACUGACGCUGAGGCACGAAAGUGCGGGGAUCGAACAGGAUUAGAUACCCUUGUAGUC
Molecule: ribosomal RNA, 460 nt
Filed under: uncultured bacterium
Lineage: Bacteria
Description: partial 16S ribosomal RNA
Rfam family: Bacterial small subunit ribosomal RNA
Source: RNAcentral